GCCCAGCCGUAAACAAUUAACUUACACUAAAAACGCCUGGGAACUACGAGCAAUGCUUAAAACCCAAAGGAUUUGACGGUGUCCCACCCACCUAGAGGAGCCUGUUCUAUAAUCGAUAAUCCCCGCUAUACCCAACCACCCCUAGCUCUUCAGUCUGUAUACCUCCGUCGAAAGCCUACCAUGUGAACGUUUUCAGUAGGCCCAAUGACCACCCUCAAUACGUCAGGUCAAGGUGCAGCUCACGGAGUGGAAAGCAAUGGGCUACAAUUUCUAACUUAGAACAAACGAAAAACUAUGUGAAAUCAUAGUUAUGAAGGCGGAUUUAGCAGUAAAAAGAAAAUAGAGAGUUCUUUUUAACCCGGCUCUGGGACGCGUACACACCGCCCGUCACCCUCUUCAACAAUAUCUAUUAAGUCUCUAACCCUACACUACACCUUAGAAGAGGCAAGUCGUAACAUGGUAAGUGUACUGGAAAGUGCACUUGGAUUACACAAAAUGUAGCUUAACUAAAGCCCCUCGCUUACACCGAGGCAAUGUCUGUUCGACCCAGAUCAUCUUGAGCCUAAAAUCUAGCCCACAUAAAUCCCAUGAAACCCUUAACCCACUGUCCCACAACAAAACAUUUUAACAUUUUAGUACAGGAGAUCAAAAAAUUCCUAGGCGCUUCAGAUAUAGUACCGCAAGGGAACGAUGAAAUAAAAAUGAAAUAAUUUUAAAGCCUCAAAUAGCAGAGAUACUCCCUCG
Molecule: ribosomal RNA, 744 nt
Filed under: Sylvirana maosonensis (Mo-Son frog)
Lineage: Eukaryota; Metazoa; Chordata; Amphibia; Anura; Ranidae
Description: partial 12S ribosomal RNA
Rfam family: Bacterial small subunit ribosomal RNA (bases 1-497)
Source: RNAcentral